RNAcentral lists this non-coding RNA (209 nucleotides) under Bacillus velezensis. The record is from RNAcentral. Lineage: Bacteria; Bacillati; Bacillota; Bacilli; Caryophanales; Bacillaceae.
CGGAACGCGAUGACGAGGAACUAGUAUAUAAACAACGGCAGCAGAGAGCAAUGUCCCCGGCUGAAAGACAUUGCGGCCCUCUUGUUUACAGAACCUGCCCUCAGAGCGGUUAGGAAAACCUAAACGUAUCCCUCGUUACGGGAUUUGAGCUGAGCACGGCUGAUUCGUGCUAAUGUAAGGUGGUACCGCGAAACCUUUUCGUCCUUUUU